Molecule: long non-coding RNA, 1634 nt
Organism: Cebus imitator (Panamanian white-faced capuchin)
Lineage: Eukaryota; Metazoa; Chordata; Mammalia; Primates; Cebidae
Exons: 2
Source: RefSeq, a predicted model, not a curated record
CCUCAUACUGGAUUUCUAACCAUGCUCUUUCAUUUUCUUGAUGACAACAUGAUACAGGAUUAUAUGAAGGACAUGCUUCUAUAUAGUGAAGCACCACUUAAUGAUGGGGAUACCUUCUCAGAAGUGUGUCCUUAGGAGAUUUCAUCCUUGUGCAAACAUCAUAGAAUGUACUUACCCAAACCUAAAUGAAACAGCCUACCACUACACACCUAGGAUAUAUGGCACAGCCAAUUGCUCCUAGGUUACCAGCCUGUACUGCAUGUUACUGUACUGAAUACUGUAGACAGUUGUAACACAAUGUAAGUAUUUGUGUAUCUAAAAAUAGAAAAGGUACAGCAAAAAUACAGUGUUAUCAUCUUAUGGGACCACCAUCAUGGAAUGUUGUUAUGCAGCACAUGACUGUAUUUCUAAAGUGUGUAUUAGUGGUUUAAGUUGAUCUUUGAGCUAGCAGUCCAGUUACCCAGCUAUACCCAGCUGUGCAUUGUAUCAUCCGGGGCCCCAGCGACAGCACUGAUUGUUAAUUUAUUGUGGCUGCUAUGGGCUGAAAGGCAACCUGUGCAGGAAGGGUAUGCAGCAUAGGGGAGUGAAUUGGAUGUACCUGGAGGAAAAUGGACUGUUUUGUGUCUUUUGCUGUCCACGGUCAUUUGCCAGCCAUUUGCCUACCUGCCUCCCACAGAUAAGUAAUUCAUGGCAAUGUUUAUUAUUGAUAAUAAUGGCAGUUAUUCAUAUAAUAACAACAGUUAUUGUUAGUGGUGAGAAACAGUAAAUAUUUACAAUGAAUGGUAACUGUUUAGAUGGGUGGCUGGAGGAAAUAAGUAUAAAAGGUGAGAAUGGGUAGAGUAGUGGAGGAGAUAAGGGGAGAUGAUGCCAAAGGCAUACUCCAGAGAUGUCCAAGCAGUGUUGGAAUCAUCCCUGUACUGAGCCAUGGGCAAGCUGAAAAGUUACUACAUCUGAGUAUGGGGAAACUUCUUUUUUCAUUUAUUUUCCCUUUCAAAAAGGAAUAGAACCAACUCUUGGCGUUAAUCAAUAAACUAACAUUAUUUUUGCUGCUGCCUUUCUCAAAUGACUUGUGAGAUUAAAUCAUUUGAGAAAAGCAUCAAAAAUAAUGUUAGUUAUUGUCUUGUCCCACUGUUUCUUUUUCUUUACUUUUUCUAUCCUUCCUAAGGACAAUGUCACAUGUGAAAGUGUAAAUUAAAUACAUAAAUAUCAAAUUUUGGGAAAGUUGAUGAUAGGAACAUGUGGUCUUUAUGACUAAAGGAGGCACCCAGAAAUGUGUGUCAUGAGGGAAAAGAGUUACACUGUUUAUCAUCUCAUUAAUCUUAUGUACUCUGUGACAAAUAGCCUUGCUGUUGCUUUUCAGCUUAUUGAAGUACUUACUGAUGCAUGCUUUGAAAACUGGUGGCCGAGCAUGGUGGCUCACGCCUGACAUCCCAGUACUUUGGAUGGCUGAGUUGCAGGUACAGCCUGGCACCCACUGGUCAGAAUAUUCCAUUGAGUGGCAAACUUUCAUCUUGGGGAAAUGAAUUUUAUUUUUAAAAGCAUUCAAAGCCACUUUCUGCAAGUUUGGGUGAUCAACCUGGAAAAUGCUAUGUUGAACAAAAACAAGAUGUCACUAUUAAAAAAAAUGAGAUUGA